GGGAUGGCUACAACUCAGUGGUAGAGCAUCUGCUUUGCACACAGAAUUCCUGGUUCUAUCCCUGGCCUUUCCA
Podarcis lilfordi (Lilford's wall lizard) is the source of this 73-nucleotide non-coding RNA. NCBI's taxonomy places the organism in Eukaryota, Metazoa, Chordata, Lepidosauria, Squamata, Lacertidae. The record is from the annotation of a GenBank genome assembly.